RNAcentral lists this unclassified non-coding RNA (216 nucleotides) under Ascomycota sp. RNAcentral's name for it is "partial contains small subunit ribosomal RNA, internal transcribed spacer 1, and 5.8S ribosomal RNA". The stretch from base 1 to 47 matches the Rfam family "Eukaryotic small subunit ribosomal RNA", at positions 1785 to 1831 of the family's 1831-position model. The record is from RNAcentral. Lineage: Eukaryota; Fungi; Ascomycota.
AAAGUCGUAACAAGGUUUCCGUAGGUGAACCUGCGGAAGGAUCAUUAUCGUGGGGCUCCGGCCCCGUCGAGAUACAACCCUUGCCUUUAUGAGUACCGCCCGUUUCCUCGGCAGGCCCGCCUGCCAAUGGGGACAAGAAACACCCUGAUACCACCUGUAACUGCCUGAUAAAACAAACAAAAAUCAAAACUUUCAACAACGGAUCUCUUGGUUCUG